CCUACGGGCGGCUGCAGUGGGGAAUAUUGGACAAUGGGGGCAACCCUGAUCCAGCCAUGCCGCGUGUGUGAAGAAGGCCCUCGGGUUGUAAAGCACUUUCAGUGAGGAAGAACGCCUGGUGGUUAAUACCCAUCAGGAAAGACAUCACUCACAGAAGAAGCACCGGCUAACUCCGUGCCAGCAGUCGCGGUAAUACGGAGGGUGCGAGCGUUAAUCGGAAUUACUGGGCGUAAAGCGCGCGUAGGUGGCUUGAUAAGCCGGUUGUGAAAGCCCCGGGCUCAACCUGGGAACGGCAUCCGGAACUGUCAAGCUAGAGUGCAGGAGAGGAAGGUAGAAUUCCCGGUGUAGCGGUGAAAUGCGUAGAGAUCGGGAGGAAUACCAGUGGCGAAGGCGGCCUUCUGGACUGACACUGACACUGAGGUGCGAAAGCGUGGGUAGCAAACAGGAUUAGAUACCCCGGUAGUC
Molecule: ribosomal RNA, 465 nt
Filed under: Vreelandella stevensii
Lineage: Bacteria; Pseudomonadati; Pseudomonadota; Gammaproteobacteria; Oceanospirillales; Halomonadaceae
Description: partial 16S ribosomal RNA
Rfam family: Bacterial small subunit ribosomal RNA
Source: RNAcentral